This is a long non-coding RNA of Notolabrus celidotus (New Zealand spotty), 1098 nucleotides long. RefSeq lists it as uncharacterized. The record is from RefSeq and is a predicted model, not a curated record. The transcript is spliced from 3 exons. Lineage: Eukaryota; Metazoa; Chordata; Actinopteri; Labriformes; Labridae.
AAUUAAUUCACGCUGUGUUUUUUCGUUGUGCAGAUCAGGUGUGAGAGCAGAAAAUAGAAGAUGAUGCCCCUCAGCUGAAUGUUUGUUGGGUAGAGGGUGGGUGUAAAUGCCAGUCUCUGCUGAGCUGCUCUCAGCGCCCAGCAGCAGGCCGGAGAUUGGUUCAGCUCCCAGUGACAAAGCUGAGCCUUGCACUGUGCCGGUAAACUGAAAGGUAAAAGGCUGCCAGCAUCAAUCAGCUGCAGGGAACAGAGAGAAAGAGAAUGAGCAUCCUCCUCCCCCGCUGUUGCUGCAGCGGGCUUCCUUUCACAACAAGUGCAACCCUCCCUCCUCACCUCCGUCUCAGACUGUCUGAAAGGGCAAGAUGUGAAGGAAGCUGAUUCAGAGUCAAACACUGAACCACCCUGCUCUGCGUUUGCAAGUUACUGGAGCUGUGAUGCCCUUUCAUGAAUACUGGUCCGGUUUUCAAAGUCCACAGAAACCUCAAGGCUGAUCUACGUGAAAGGAAACACCUCCAUUUUUCAACCUUGUCCCUGUUUUUUGGCCCAUAUGUUGACAUGUGCAACAUUUUGGAACUGCUGGUGCAGUAUGCUUCAGUCUGCUGCAGGAUCACGGCUUUAACGGCUACAAUGAAACUCCUGGGGCAAAUACAGACAAACAAGUUAGGUCCACUAAAGGGUUUACAGUUAGCGCUGACAUAUCCUGACGGUAAACUUAAUGUCCUCACUACAAGAUUUCAAAAUAAGACUUCCCUUUGAGUGUCCCUUUUUUUAGUGGUGAUGGCAGCACAGCUCUUUACAGGAUGUUGUCUGACACUUAGUAAAAUGAGCUAAGUGACAAAUAAAGGGGCCCAGUGUUGCAGUCUUUCAUGCAGCUGAGGAGACUCUCCAAAGUUAGAUCAUUUUUAUUCAAGAAAAACCUUGAUACAGUCAUACAUGCUUUUAUCUCCCCCCGUUUGGAUGACUGUAACUCAUUGUUGAGUUUGCACAAAUGAAGCAGCCCGACUUCUCAUUAGAACCAGAAAAAAGAGACCACAUCACUCCUGUUUUAGCUCGGUCUCAGCAGAUGUGUGUCUAACAUGAGUCUGGUCCUGCUCAAGGU